RNAcentral lists this non-coding RNA (176 nucleotides) under Timspurckia oligopyrenoides. The record is from RNAcentral. Lineage: Eukaryota; Rhodophyta; Bangiophyceae; Porphyridiales; Porphyridiaceae.
UUUUGAUACCGAUUCACAGAAAUUAAAAGAAAAGAAAAGAAAAGUAGGAAUCGAGUUCUGUACUUUGUUUGUUUCUAAAUAUCCAGUGAAAGGCAACGCGGAUUUCUUUUACUCGUGAGAAAGUAGAUACGAAGCGUUUUGAAUAAUCAUUGACUAGAUUACAUGAUUCGAGCACA